This 253-nucleotide ribosomal RNA is filed under the name uncultured bacterium. RNAcentral's name for it is "partial 16S ribosomal RNA". It matches the Rfam family "Bacterial small subunit ribosomal RNA", at positions 524 to 776 of the family's 1533-position model. The record is from RNAcentral.
UACGUAGGGGGCAAGCGUUGUCCGGAAUCAUUGGGCGUAAAGAGCGUGUAGGCGGCCCGAUAAGUCCGCUGUGAAAGUCCAGGGCUCAACCCUGGGAUGCCGGUGGAUACUGUCGGGCUCGAGUCCGGAAGAGGAGUGUGGAAUUCCUGGUGUAGCGGUGAAAUGCGCAGAUAUCAGGAGGAACACCAAUGGCGAAGGCAGCACUCUGGGACGUGACUGACGCUGAGAAGCGGAAGCAUGGGGAGCGAACAGG